ACUCGGUAGCUGCAGCUCCCGGAGCACAGCGGACAGAGCUGCGGGCUGCGUGCGCCCCUGCUGCCACCGGGCCUGCCGCGGUGGCUCCCGCGCCCCGCGGCGACUUCCGAACCCGCGCUUCUCUUUGUUCAAGUCCCCGAGCGGCGGCGGGGUCGGAGCCCGCGCCCUGGGCGACUGAGGCGGCCGCAGUCCGCGCCCCGGCGCCCUGGCGAUGCCGGACCAGAUCUGUGUCGGAAUUCGUGGCCGAGACCCUUGAGGACUACAAGGCACCCACUGCCUCUAGCUUCACCAUGGGCACGGCCCAGUGCCGGAACACCGCGGCGGCCACCGAGGAGGAUGCAGUGACUUAUGAUGAUGUGCAUGUGAACUUCACUGGGGAAGAGUGGAAUUUGCUGGAUCCUUCCC
Molecule: long non-coding RNA, 405 nt
Filed under: Mus musculus (house mouse)
Lineage: Eukaryota; Metazoa; Chordata; Mammalia; Rodentia; Muridae
Description: predicted gene 21989
Source: RNAcentral